CAUAAAGAUGUGCCUUACAGUUUUAUCACAGUUAAGGAAUUUGCAGAGGCAUUUCAGUCAUUUCAUGUGGGACAAGGACUUUCAGGCGAGCUUUCUACUCCAUUUGACAAAGCCAAGAGCCAUCCAGCUGCUUUGGCAACAAAAAAGUACGGCGUUAGUAAUAUUCAACUGCUGAAAGCUUGCUUCUCAAGAGAGUUAUUGCUCAUGAAGAGGAACUCAUUCGUCUACAUCUUCAAGCUUACCCAACUUACAAUAAUGGCAAUGGUUGCUAUGACACUCUUCUUCCGGACUGAGAUGCACCG
This 302-nucleotide unclassified non-coding RNA is filed under the name Hevea brasiliensis (rubber tree). Lineage: Eukaryota; Viridiplantae; Streptophyta; Magnoliopsida; Malpighiales; Euphorbiaceae. The record is from RNAcentral.